CCGACGGUGAGGGACGAAUGCUGGGGGCGCAAACCGGAUUAGAUACCCGGGUAGUCCCAGCAGUAAACGAUGCCAGCUAUGUGUUGCUGGAACCAUGGGUUCCAGCAGUGCCGAAGGGAAGCCGUGAAGCUGGCCACCUGGGAAGUACGGUCGCAAGGCUGAAACUUAAAGGAAUUGGCGGGGGAGUACCACAACCGGUGGAGCCUGCGGUUUAAUUGGAUACAACGCCGGGAAUCUUACCGGAGGGGACAGCAGUAUGAAGGCCAGGCUAAAGACCUUGCCAGAUCAGCUGAGAGGAGGUGCAUGGCCGUCGCCAGUUCGUACCGUGAGGCAUCCUGUUUAGUCAGGCAACGAUCGAGACCCGCAGUCUUAUUUGCCAGCAUGCCCUUUGGGGUGUAUGGGUACAAUAAGACGACCGCCAGCGCUAAGCUGGAGGAAGGAGCGGGCUACGGUAGGUCAGCAUGCCCCGAAUCCUCCGGGAUACACGCGGGCUACAAUGGUCAGGACAAAAGGUACCGACCUCGAAAGAGUGAGGUAAUCCACAAACCUGAUCUCAGUCCGGAUCGAAGGCUGCAACUCGCCUUCGUGAAGAUGGAAUCGGUAGUAAUCGUGACUCAAAAUG
This 622-nucleotide ribosomal RNA is filed under the name uncultured archaeon. RNAcentral's name for it is "bacterial SSU rRNA". It matches the Rfam family "Archaeal small subunit ribosomal RNA", at positions 691 to 1312 of the family's 1478-position model. The record is from RNAcentral.